AAUAGAUACCCGGGUAGUCCACCCCGUAAACGUUGGGAACUAGUUGUGGGGUCCUUUCCACGGAUUCCGUGACGCAGCUAACGCAUUAAGUUCCCCGCCUGGGGAGUACGGCCGCAAGGCUAAAAACUCAAAGGAAUUGACGGGGACCCGCACAAGCGGCGGAGCAUGCGGAUUAAUUCGAUGCAACGCGAAGAACCUUACCAAGGCUUGACAUACACCGGAAACGGCCAGAGAUGGUCGCCCCGCAAGGUCGGUGUACAGGUGGUGCAUGGUUGUCGUCAGCUCGUGUCGUGAGAUGUUGGGUUAAGUCCCGCAACGAGCGCAACCCUCGUUCUAUGUUGCCAGCACGUAAUGGUGGGAACUCAUGGGAUACUGCCGGGGUCAACUCGGAGGAAGGUGGGGAUGACGUCAAAUCAUCAUGCCCCUUAUGUCUUGGGGCUUCACGCAUGCUACAAUGGCCGGUACAAAGGGCUGCAAUACCGUGAGGUGGAGCGAAUCCCAAAAAGCCGGUCCAGUUCGGAUUGAGGUCUGCAACUCGACCUCAUGAA
RNAcentral lists this ribosomal RNA (548 nucleotides) under uncultured bacterium. Its description in RNAcentral is "bacterial SSU rRNA". It matches the Rfam family "Bacterial small subunit ribosomal RNA", at positions 777 to 1324 of the family's 1533-position model. The record is from RNAcentral.